RNAcentral lists this ribosomal RNA (253 nucleotides) under uncultured bacterium. RNAcentral's name for it is "partial 16S ribosomal RNA". It matches the Rfam family "Bacterial small subunit ribosomal RNA", at positions 524 to 776 of the family's 1533-position model. The record is from RNAcentral.
UACGAAGGGGGCUAGCGUUGCUCGGAAUCACUGGGCGUAAAGCGCACGUAGGCGGAUUGUUAAGUCAGGGGUGAAAUCCUGGAGCUCAACUCCAGAACUGCCUUUGAUACUGGCGAUCUUGAGUUCGGGAGAGGUGAGUGGAACCGCGAGUGUAGAGGUGAAAUUCGUAGAUAUUCGCAAGAACACCAGUGGCGAAGGCGGCUCACUGGCCCGAUACUGACGCUGAGGUGCGAAAGCGUGGGGAGCAAACAGG